UCCCUUGUGGCUCAGUUGGUAAAGAAUCUGCCUGCAAUGCAGGAUACCUGGGUUCGAUACCUGGAUUGGGAA
This 72-nucleotide transfer RNA is filed under the name Bos taurus (domestic cattle). It matches the Rfam family "tRNA". From Rfam's summary of the family: Transfer RNA (tRNA) molecules are approximately 80 nucleotides in length. Their secondary structure includes four short double-helical elements and three loops (D, anti-codon, and T loops). Further hydrogen bonds mediate the characteristic L-shaped molecular structure. tRNAs have two regions of fundamental functional importance: the anti-codon, which is responsible for specific mRNA codon recognition, and the 3' end, to which the tRNAs corresponding amino acid is attached (by aminoacyl-tRNA synthetases). tRNAs cope with the degeneracy of the genetic code in two manners: having more than one tRNA (with a specific anti-codon) for a particular amino acid; and 'wobble' base-pairing, i.e. permitting non-standard base-pairing at the 3rd anti-codon position. RNAcentral also lists the same sequence under 3 other names. The record is from Rfam by way of RNAcentral. Lineage: Eukaryota; Metazoa; Chordata; Mammalia; Artiodactyla; Bovidae.